RNAcentral lists this long non-coding RNA (1240 nucleotides) under Echeneis naucrates (live sharksucker). Its description in RNAcentral is "lncRNA (ENSENLG00000003065.1)". The record is from RNAcentral. Lineage: Eukaryota; Metazoa; Chordata; Actinopteri; Carangiformes; Echeneidae.
CUUAGACCUCAUGACAGAAGUAAUGAUCUGAGCUGCCGACAGAUGCUGAGGAGAGUGGAGACAUGGAAGCUGUGCUAGGACUGUGUCUGAUGUUGCUCAGAGUCUCUCAUGGUGUGGAGACUCAGUGUGACGGCAGACAGGAUGGAGCUCAGUGUUAUGGAGCUGUGGGAGGAACUGUGGCCCUCCAGCUGAUGGACAGCGUUGUAGGACUAGUUAGAUACAGAUGGACAUUCAACAACACAAAAAUAAUACUCAAUGGGAGAAAGAAUACUCCGGUUAAUCUGACAGACAACAGAUACUCCUUCACUCCCAGCAAUGGAACAUUUAGGAUGAAUAACCUGAGAAGGAGUGAUGGUGGUGAAUAUACUCUGCUAAUAUUUGAUUCCAAUGGUACGAACACAGAGAAGCGAACUCUAAAGUUGGUCGUUCAAGCUCCUGUGUCCUCUGUCCGGCUGGUCUCUGAGUGUCUGUCUCAGGGAGAGAUGAGGGUGUCCUGCCUCUCUGAAGGAGGGGACAGUCCUCAGUACAGCUGGACUCUGGAUGGACACACACUGACAGAUGCUGAGCUUCUCACUGGACAUAAUGAAACUAACAACAUCACUCUGAAACAGCAUGUUUCAGGACGUCUGGCCUGCUCAGUCAGGAAUCAUGUCAGUGAUGUCCUGAAACAGCAGAUGAUAUCUACAUGUGGCUUCACCUUCAUUAACUGCACCUCUGAUGGCAAACACAUUUCACAGUGGGUGUUUGCAGCUAAUAACACACUGUGUAUUGAGCCGACAACAGCCUCUUCAACUGUUACAGAAAUGGGGCCCCCCACUGAGGGUAAGGACAGAAACCUUGUAUGCUCUUCUUACAGUACACAUCAAACUGCGGAUUUCUCCAUGAAUCAUGGGCCACGACUCCAGCUCUAAUCAGGUUUUCUUCAGUUGCUUUGAUGCAUUUGACUCAUCAGAAACAUCCUCACACUCUUACUGCAGCUCGUAGAAAAGUUCAUCCUUUCCCCUCACAGCUCAGUGUUUCUCAGUAUAUUUGUACAUCCAUUGUGUCUACACAUAUGCACAGCUUAAGACGUUUUGUCACCGUGUUGAUGCUUGUGUUUCUCAUUUGACACUGACUAUGUUUUUAUCUGGUGAGGGGAAAACAGCUGGAUGUUGCUGACACCGAUGAUUAUGGUCACAUCAGCCAGGGUAAUCAAUAUCUUUCCUGUUAGGUUUUAUCUUCAUUAAUUGCACCUCUGAUG